GUACGCCAGAGAAGCAGCACAGCCAGGCCACAGCCAACCCUGCCUAGAGCUGAUGAUGGUGGGAAUGCUGGUUCUUCGUCUGUUCCGUGGCCACUAAGGCGCCAAUCACAGGCCAGCGUUACUGUGUCUACAAGGCCACCCAAGUGGCCCCGUGUACAGGCUCUUGCUCCUGCACCAGCAUCACCCCCCCAAAGGCGCAUCUCUGCAGUGGCUUCCGUGCCACCACUGGCACUUUUGGCAAGCCCCCAAAGUGUAGAUCCGCAAUCCCCACAGGUGUCUGAUCCAGCCAUCAUGAGCGACAAUGGCCAGCAGGCCCGUGCCCAGGAGACAUUUACACUCCACCUGCAGCCCAUCGACCCAACACAGGCAAACAUGGCUCAGGACAUUCAACAACAACCGCAAGCUUCUCAAAGCCAACAAAUGAGCUCAACACCAGGGACAAUGCAAACGGAUCCAGAGUUUUGGUCAGGUUGGGCAUCACACCAGGCACACCACUCCGCGUGUCUCACCACCCAAACACAACACCUGUCUAGUCUGCCCCAUCAUUUGCCAAAAGUUAGUCGCAACUCUGCCAGACUCAUCGUGCAGGUGGGGCGGAUAGCAAACACAAUGGAGCAGAUGAGGGCAGACAACUCACAAAUGCAGGCAAACCAUCAGCGCAUCAUGUAUGAGCAACAGCGGCAACACCAAACACUGAUCCAGAUUAUACAGCACAAUCAAGUUAUAAAUGACAAUCUGUCUAGAAUCAUUGCCACCAAUACUGCCGCUUAUACACAGCUUACGGCCAGUUUAAAUAUUUUGAGCCAAAAUUUAAUUGCAAUGGGCCAACAACAUGUGACCUCAAGCUCAAGCACAACAACCCCUAGCCAAACACCAGUACAAUCACCAGUUCGACGAUCAAGUCGAAGCCGCACCCACGAGCACCCACAAGCCUCUGCACCCAGCACCCAAAAAAAAAGAAAAUAAUAUGUAGUGCCCAUAAUAUGGUGGGCAUUUCAAAUUAUCACAUAUGUGUUAUGA
This is a long non-coding RNA of Pseudophryne corroboree (corroboree frog), 1020 nucleotides long. RefSeq lists it as uncharacterized. The record is from RefSeq and is a predicted model, not a curated record. NCBI's taxonomy places the organism in Eukaryota, Metazoa, Chordata, Amphibia, Anura, Myobatrachidae. The transcript has 3 exons.